RNAcentral lists this long non-coding RNA (566 nucleotides) under Calidris pygmaea (Spoon-billed sandpiper). RNAcentral's name for it is "lncRNA (ENSCPGG00000019109.1)". The record is from RNAcentral. Lineage: Eukaryota; Metazoa; Chordata; Aves; Charadriiformes; Scolopacidae.
GUUCUUUUUAAGAUUUGGGGUGAAGUAGGGUUGGCAGAGAAUCAUAACCGUUGCUAUUUUCCUCCCACUUCCAUUCCCUGCCCCAUCAGGAGUGAUAAACAAAUCCAGAGAGAUGUGCCAAGCUCACCUUCAGCGUGACAGCCCUGAGUGACCAGAAUUCUGAGCUGACAAGGACAUAAACUCUUAUGCCUUGGACUCUUCAGCAUCCUAGCUGAAAGGAUUUAUCUCCACGUCCACCUUCUCAGGGACACCAAUGCCUUUCUGCUCGGUGACAGUGUCUGACCCUCCCUGCAGGAAAGAUGUGCUACCAGCAUCCGCAAAAACAGAUUUUCUGUGAGUCUCCCAAAAAUCUCUUAACAUUUAAUUAAAAGAAAAUUUGACAUGUCUACUAGAUCGGGAGCUACUUGGGAUGGAGAUCUCAUCCCUGAUUACAUGAUCCCCUUAACAACUGCAGCUAUACAGCUGAAGCAGCAGUAAAAUGUAGUAAGAGAUCUAUCAGUUUAAUACAUAUUAUAAUCAUCUUUAACUUGUAAGUGAACUUGUGUACUUAGAAAAGACCAGUAGCA